AUUGAACGCUGGCGGCAUGGCUAAAACAUGCAAGUCGAACGAUUAAAGCUUCUUCGGAAGUGCAUAAAGUGGCGUAAGGGCGAGGAAUAUAUUUCUAUGUACCCCUAAGUCGAGGAUAGCCCAGAGAAAUUUGGUGUAAUACUCGAUGUGGUCUCCGGAUCAAAGAUUUAUCGCUUAGGGAGCAGGGAAUAUCCUAUCAGGUAGUUGGUGAGGUAACGGCUCACCAAGCCAAAGACGGGUAGCGGGUGUGAGAGCAUGACCCGCCGCAUCGGAACUGAGACACUGUCCGGACUCCUACGGGAGGCUGCAGUAACGAAUCUUCCGCAAUGAGCGAAAGCUUGACGGAGCAAUGCCGCGUGUAGGAUGAAUCUCUUCGGAGUGUAAACUACUGUCAGAGACUAGGAACCCAAUGACCAAUCUCGAAGGAAGGGCCGGCUAACUUCGUGCCAGCAGCCGCGGUAAUACGAAGGGCCCGAGCGUUAUUCGGAAUCACUGGGCUUAAAGCGUACGUAGGCUGGUAUAUAGGCAUUUUGUGAAAUCCCUCGGCUCAACUGAGGAACUGCAGAGUGAACCAUAUAUCUUGAGACAGACAGAGGUCGUUGGAACGAUUGGUGGAGUGGUGAAAUGCGUUGAUAUCAAUCGGAACGCCAAUGGAGAAGUCAAGCGACUGGGUCUGUUCUGACGCUGAGGUACGAAAGCGUGGGUAGCGAACGGGAUUAGAUACCCCGGUAGUCCACGCCGUAAACGAUGUGCACUAGGUCGAGGGCGUUCUGACGCGACUCUCGGCCGAAGCGAAAGUGUUAAGUGCACCGCCUGGGGAGUACGGUCGCAAGGCUAAAACUCAAGGAA
RNAcentral lists this ribosomal RNA (849 nucleotides) under uncultured bacterium. RNAcentral describes it as "bacterial SSU rRNA". It matches the Rfam family "Bacterial small subunit ribosomal RNA", at positions 28 to 908 of the family's 1533-position model. The record is from RNAcentral.